This 1674-nucleotide ribosomal RNA is filed under the name Triticum aestivum (bread wheat). RNAcentral describes it as "partial small subunit ribosomal RNA". Lineage: Eukaryota; Viridiplantae; Streptophyta; Magnoliopsida; Poales; Poaceae. The record is from RNAcentral.
AUGUUCCCCCCUGGCCCUAGUAAUGCUAGUACUUCACAGAGGCAGGGUUUUGGUAUUGAUGUUGUUGUUUCUGCGUUGGAGCGCGCUGAGCAUAUUUUUAGAAAUGUGUGUUCUGAGCUGCAAAAGCUCCCAACGACAGUUGAGCAUCUGAGUUGUAUCAGUGGUAUCCUUCCUGAAGGUCAUCAAUUUAACACUGAGGAAGCAGUGGACUAUAUUGAGAUGGAGAGAAUUUUAAUUGGUGAUAUGUGUGACGGUGCUGUUGAUCUAGUUCAGAGCUCGGUUCGUCUAUUGAACAACAUGAAGCGUUUCAAAAGUAUGCAAGACUCUCGCUGCAAGCCAUAUGAAGAAAGUGCAAAAGUUGUUACCAGCCAGACUGAGCAGGAUGUGGCUGCUGCCAUCGACAGCAGGGCUGGUGAUGGUACCGAGGCUAAUGUUCCUGAUCAUGAAACGAAUGAUGUUGGCUUGGAGCGCGCUGUUGAUGAUAUUGAGCAGGAUGAGGCUGCCGCCACAGACAGCAGGGCUGAUGAUGGUACUGAGGUUAAUGUUUCUGAUCACCAUACGAACGAUGUUGGCUUGGAGCAGCCUGUUGUUGAUGAGACCAGUCAUAAUGUUGACGCUGCUGUUGACCGUGGAGUUAAUGAUCCAUCUACUGAUAAAUGCAAGGGUCCUAUUGUUGGCGACGAGCCUUGUUUGCAUGUUGGUGAUGUUGCUUUUAAUGUUAGCAACAGCAAGAUCGAUGAUGUUUCUGUGAAUGCUUCUAAGAUGACUGAUGUUGAGCGUGAGGCUGUUGUUAGUGGUGGAGAUGAUGCUCAUGGUGUUCCAUUGAGUAGUGGGCGCGAUGUUGGUGCCAAAGUUGCUGAUGAGGAUUUUGGUGCUGCUAGCAUACUUGAUGGCAAACCGUUUGGUGUUGGUAUUGUUGGGAAUGAAAAUCUUUUUGAUUUUGAAGAUUUCCCGCCUGGAGGGCUUGAUUAUGGUGAUGCAUUGCAAGAUGCUUCUAGCGUGGAGGAGGUGCCAUCCGAGGAUGAUGAUUUACUUCUGUCGAUUUCUUUUGGCCCCUUGAUGCAGGAGGCGCUCGUGUCGUCCCAGGAUUUUCUUUCCACAGACCCUGAAAGCGCAGCGAUAUUGGUGUCCUCUCAGGAUGUGCCCGUGCCAUCGUCAAACCCUGAAACUGGAGGCAUAUUGGUCUCAUCGCAGGAACUACCAUCGUCGUCAAACACUGAUAGUGCAGAAAGUGGAAAUGUUGUUAAGGUUGAUAUGUUUUUCUUCGCUAUUACGAGGUUGCGCAUGAACCGUGCAAAAUGUCACAAGCCAAUGUUUCAAAAUAAAGAAUGUGAUGCCAGUGUUGGUUCUAUUGCUAAAGCGUUUGUCCCCACUGGCAUGCUCAACUCAGACAGUGCUGACGUUGUUUUAUAUUCUCUAUGUUCGAAGUACCGAGACACUGACAAGUUGAUAGUUCCUAAAUGGGUGACGACCAAGAUCCGUGAUGGAAAUAUUGACUCCAAUGUGCUAAUUGGUUUACGAGAUCGUGUGAGUGGCUGGAUCUUAAUGAGCAUGACUACAAGAUCUUUGGUAGCCAGUUCUCGGAGCUCGAGCGCGUAUCUUUUGAUCUUAGCCAGUGGCAUUCUCCAGAAAAGACAAGGUCUAGUGUUCUUAAGGGGCGGUUGGGAGCUCUGA